RNAcentral lists this ribosomal RNA (421 nucleotides) under uncultured bacterium. RNAcentral describes it as "partial 16S ribosomal RNA". It matches the Rfam family "Bacterial small subunit ribosomal RNA", at positions 359 to 773 of the family's 1533-position model. The record is from RNAcentral.
AAGAUUUGACAAUGGGCGAAGGCCUGAUCCACCCAUGCCGCGCGUGUGAAGAAGGUAGUCGGUUUGUUAAUCACUCUAUGUUGGGAGGAAGGGCGGUAAUCAAAUACCUUGCAGUUUUGACGUUAGCGACAGAAUAAGCACCGGCCAACUUCGUGUCAGCAGCCGCGGUAAUACGGAGGGUGCAAGCGUUGAUCGGAAUUACUGGGUGUAAAGCGCGCGUAGGUGGUUUGUUAAGUUGGAAGUGAAAGCCCCGGGCUCAACCUGGGAACUGCAUUCAAAACUGGCAAGCUAGAGUAUGGCAGAGGGUGGUGGAAUUUCCAGUGUAGCGGUGAAAUGCGUAGAUAUAGGAAGGAACACCAGUGGCGAAGGCGACCACCUGGGCUAAUACUGACGCUGAGGUGCGAAAGCGUGGGGAGCAAAC